UACAGAGGUCCCAAGCGUUGUUCGGAUUCACUGGGCGUAAAGGGUGCGUAGGCGGUCGGGUAAGUCUGACGUGAAAUCUUCGAGCCUAACUCGAAAACUGCGUCGGAUACUAUCCGGCUGGAGGAAUGGAGGGGAGACUGGAAUUCUCGGUGUAGCAGUGAAAUGCGUAGAUAUGACAUAGAACACCAAUUGCGAAGGCAGCUGGCUACACGAAUAUUGACACUGAUGCACGAAAGCGUGGGGAUCAAACAGG
Molecule: ribosomal RNA, 253 nt
Filed under: uncultured bacterium
Lineage: Bacteria
Description: partial 16S ribosomal RNA
Rfam family: Bacterial small subunit ribosomal RNA
Source: RNAcentral